Molecule: long non-coding RNA, 648 nt
Organism: Lotus japonicus
Lineage: Eukaryota; Viridiplantae; Streptophyta; Magnoliopsida; Fabales; Fabaceae
Exons: 4
Source: RefSeq, a predicted model, not a curated record
GCCUAGAGUCGAUGCUGCCCGAGAGGAGAGCCAGAUGGAGAAAGGAAAUUGAUUGGCUUCUAUUAGUGACAAAUUAUGUUGUUGAGAUGGUCCUACUAAACAAAAAUCAAAAGAUGGAUCCAGCAUGGAGAUUAUGACAACGCGACAACGAACAGAUCUCCAUAUGAAUAUCCCUGCCUUAAGAAACCUUGACAACAUGCUUAUUGAUUGUCCAGAUAACUUCAAAGACCAGAAUGAGUUCUACUAUGUAUCACAAGAUGCAGAUGAUGCAGAUAAAGAUAGUUCAAAGAGAAAAAAUGAUGACAAGUGGUCCUACACCUAAGGUUCCUGCAGAGGGUUCAUCUGAUGUGGUGAUGGCCAUAAAUGCACAGACCCUAUCGGAGAUGGAGAUCCCUGAAAGCUAUAUUGAAUCCCUACCCAAGAAUGGUGCGUUAAUUAUGACCAGAAAGACAAGAGCCAAAAAAGUUUUUCUUCAAUGACUUGUAGAGGAGUGAUUCAUAUGUGAUUUGAUUACAGAAUGGUGCGUUAAUUAUGACCAGAUAGACAAGAACCAAAAAAGUGUUUCUUCAAUGACUUGUAAUCGGAAAACUUUCAAGGAGUUUUCUGAAUUCUGAAGUGUUUGAGUUUCACAUGAUCAUGUUUAAUCUG